GUGGGGAAUAUUGGACAAUGGGCGAAAGCCUGAUCCAGCCAUGCCGCGUGUGUGAAGAAGGUCUUCGGAUUGUAAAGCACUUUAAGUUGGGAGGAAGGGUAGUAACCUAAUACGUUGCUACUUUGACGUUACUGACAGAAUAAGCACCGGCUAACUUCGUGCCAGCAGCCGCGGUAAUACGAAGGGUGCAAGCGUUAAUCGGAAUUACUGGGCGUAAAGCGCGCGUAGGUGGUUCAGUAAGUUGGAAGUGAAAUCCCCGGGCUCAACCUGGGAACUGCUUUCAAAACUGCUGAGCUAGAGUACGGUAGAGGGUGGUGGAAUUUCCUGUGUAGCGGUGAAAUGCGUAGAUAUAGGAAGGAACACCAGUGGCGAAGGCGACCACCUGGACUGAUACUGACACUGAGGUGCGAAAGCGUGGGGAGCAAACAGGAUUAGAAACCCUGGUAGUCC
This 450-nucleotide ribosomal RNA is filed under the name uncultured bacterium. Its description in RNAcentral is "partial 16S ribosomal RNA". It matches the Rfam family "Bacterial small subunit ribosomal RNA", at positions 354 to 796 of the family's 1533-position model. The record is from RNAcentral.